This 694-nucleotide ribosomal RNA is filed under the name uncultured Bacteroidales bacterium. RNAcentral's name for it is "bacterial SSU rRNA". It matches the Rfam family "Bacterial small subunit ribosomal RNA", at positions 32 to 715 of the family's 1533-position model. The record is from RNAcentral. Lineage: Bacteria; Pseudomonadati; Bacteroidota; Bacteroidia; Bacteroidales.
AACGCUAGCUACAGGCUUAACACAUGCAAGUCGAGGGGCAGCAUGAAUUUACUUCGGUAGAUUUGAUGGCGACCGGCGCACGGGUGCGUAACGCGUAUCCAACCUUCCCGUUACUCCGGGAUAGCCUUCCGAAAGGGAGAUUAAUACCGGAUGGUGUUCAAGUGGUGCAUAUUAUUUGAACUAAAGAUUUAUCGGUAACGGAUGGGGAUGCGUACCAUUAGAUAGUAGGCGGGGUAACGGCCCACCUAGUCUACGAUGGUUAGGGGUUCUGAGAGGAAGGUCCCCCACACUGGAACUGAGACACGGUCCAGACUCCUACGGGAGGCAGCAGUGAGGAAUAUUGGUCAAUGGCCGGGAGGCUGAACCAGCCAAGUAGCGUGAAGGAUGAAGGUUCUAUGGAUUGUAAACUUCUUUUAUACGGGAAUAACACCAUCUACGUGUAGAUGUCUGCAUGUACCGUAUGAAUAAGCAUCGGCUAACUCCGUGCCAGCAGCCGCGGUAAUACGGAGGAUGCGAGCGUUAUCCGGAUUUAUUGGGUUUAAAGGGAGCGUAGACGGGAUGUUAAGUCAGUUGUGAAAUGCUGUGGCUCAACCAUAGCACUGCAGUUGAUACUGGCGUUCUUGAGUGCGUAUGAGGUAUGUGGAAUUCGUGGUGUAGCGGUGAAAUGCUUAGAUAUCACGAAGAACUCCGAUUG